Molecule: ribosomal RNA, 525 nt
Filed under: uncultured bacterium
Lineage: Bacteria
Description: bacterial SSU rRNA
Rfam family: Archaeal small subunit ribosomal RNA
Source: RNAcentral
ACGGAAUAGAUACCCAGGUAGUCCCAGCUGUAAACGAUGCAGACUAGGUGUUUGGACGGCCACGUGCCGUUCUAGUGCCGCAGGGAAGCUGUUAAGUCUGCCGCCUGGGGAGUACGAUCGCAAGAUUGAAACUUAAAGGAAUUGGCGGGGGAGCACCACAAGGGGUGAAGCUUGCGGUUUAAUUGGAGUCAACGCCGGAAAUCUCACCGGGAGCGACAGCAGUAUGAAAGCCAGAUUGAAGGUCUUGCUAGACGAGCUGAGAGGAGGUGCAUGGCCGUCGCCAGUUCGUGCCGUGAGGUGUCCUGUUAAGUCAGGCAACGAUCGAGACCCGCGUCCUCUGUUGCAACCAGCUUUGUGCUGGGCACACUGAGGAGACCGCCACUGAUAAAGUGGAGGAAGGAGCGGGCCACGGCAGGUCAGUAUGCCCCGAAUCUCCCGGGCCACACGCGAGCUGCAAUGGCAAGUACAAUGGGUUCCGACCUCGAAAGGGGGAGGCAAUCUCGAAAGCUUGCCGUAGUUGGAAUU